UACGAAGGGGGCUAGCGUUGCUCGGAAUUACUGGGCGUAAAGGGCGCGUAGGCGGCACAGUUAGUCAGGCGUGAAAUUCCUGGGCUCAACCUGGGGAUUGCGCUUGAAACGGCUGAGCUUGAGGACGGAAGAGGGUCGUGGAAUUCCCAGUGUAGAGGUGAAAUUCGUAGAUAUUGGGAAGAACACCGGUGGCGAAGGCGGCGACCUGGUCCGUUACUGACGCUGAGGCGCGACAGCGUGGGGAGCAAACAGG
Molecule: ribosomal RNA, 253 nt
Filed under: uncultured bacterium
Lineage: Bacteria
Description: partial 16S ribosomal RNA
Rfam family: Bacterial small subunit ribosomal RNA
Source: RNAcentral